AUUGAACGCUGGCGGCAUGCUUUACACAUGCAAGUCGGACGGCAGCACAGAGAAGCUUGCUUCUUGGGUGGCGAGUGGCGAACGGGUGAGUAACAUAUCGGAACGUACCGAGCAGUGGGGGAUAACUAAUCGAAAGAUUAGCUAAUACCGCAUAUCUUCUGAGGAAGAAAGCAGGGGACCAUUUGGCCUUGCGCUGUUUGAGCGGCCGAUAUCUGAUUAGCUAGUUGGUGGGGUAAAGGCCUACCAAGGCGAUGAUCAGUAGCGGGUCUGAGAGGAUGAUCCGCCACACUGGGACUGAGACACGGCCCAGACUCCUACGGGAGGCAGCAGUGGGGAAUUUUGGACAAUGGGCGCAAGCCUGAUCCAGCCAUGCCGCGUGUCUGAAGAAGGCCUUCGGGUUGUAAAGGACUUUUGUCAGGGAAGAAAAGGGCGGGGUUAAUACCCCUGUCUGAUGACGGUACCUGAAGAAUAAGCACCGGCUAACUACGUG
This 490-nucleotide ribosomal RNA is filed under the name uncultured bacterium. Its description in RNAcentral is "partial 16S ribosomal RNA". It matches the Rfam family "Bacterial small subunit ribosomal RNA", at positions 30 to 507 of the family's 1533-position model. The record is from RNAcentral.